AGCAGCCGCGGUAAUUCCUGCUCCAAUAGCGUAUAUUUAAGUUGUUGCAGUUAAAAAGCUCGUAGUUGAAUUUCGAGAUCAAAUUGUUGGUCGUGCCUUGGUACGCACUGGCAUUAUUGGUUUCUCCCUUCUGACGAACCAUGAUGUCAUUAAUUUGGUGUCUUGGGGAAUCAGGACUGUUACUUUGAAAAAAUUAGAGUGUUUAAAGCAGGCUCACGCUUGAAUACAUUAGCAUGGAAUAAUGAAAUAGGACGUUUGAUUCUAUUUUGUUGGUUUCUAGGACCGCCGUAAUGAUUAAUAGGGAUAGUCGGGGGCAUCAGUAUUCAAUUGUCAGAGGUGAAAUUCUUGGAUUUAUUGAAGACUAACUACUGCGAAAGCAUUUGCCAAGGAUGUUUUCAUUAAUCAGUGAACGAAAGUUAGGGGAUCGAAGACGAUCAGAUUACCGUCGUAGUCUUAACCAUAAACUAUGCCGACUAGGGAUCGGGCGAUGUUAUCUUUUUGACUCGCUCGGCACCUUACGAGAAACCAAAGUGUUUGGGUU
This 541-nucleotide ribosomal RNA is filed under the name uncultured Glomeromycotina. RNAcentral's name for it is "SSU rRNA". It matches the Rfam family "Eukaryotic small subunit ribosomal RNA", at positions 569 to 1113 of the family's 1831-position model. The record is from RNAcentral. Lineage: Eukaryota; Fungi; Glomeromycota.